ACACGACUACAUUAGAUACCCGGGUAGUCCUAGCCGUAAACGAUACUCGCUAGGUGUCGGCCACGGUGCGACCGUUGUCGGUGCCGUAGGGAAGCCGUGAAGCGAGCCACCUGGGAAGUACGGCCGCAAGGCUGAAACUUAAAGGAAUUGGCGGGGGAGCACCGCAACGGGAGGAGCGUGCGGUUCAAUUGGAUUCAACGCCGGACAACUCACCAGGAGCGACGGAUAUAUGAAGGUCAAGCUGAUGACUUUACCUGAUUUUCCG
Molecule: ribosomal RNA, 265 nt
Filed under: uncultured archaeon
Lineage: Archaea
Description: partial 16S ribosomal RNA
Rfam family: Archaeal small subunit ribosomal RNA
Source: RNAcentral